UACGUAGGGGGCGAGCGUUGUCCGGAGUUACUGGGCGUAAAGGGCAUGCAGGCGGUCGGACGCGUUUCGGGUGACAGCGGGUGGCUUAACUACCCGAGUGGUCGAAAGACGGUUUGACUUGAGGACGCGAGAGGGACACGGAAUUCCGGGUGGAGUGGUGAAAUGCGUAGAGAUCCGGAGGAACACCGAAGGCGAAGGCAGUGUCCUGGCCUGUUCUUGACGCUGAGGCGCGAAAGCUAGGGGAGCAAACGGG
Molecule: ribosomal RNA, 253 nt
Filed under: uncultured bacterium
Lineage: Bacteria
Description: partial 16S ribosomal RNA
Rfam family: Bacterial small subunit ribosomal RNA
Source: RNAcentral